CCUACGGGUGGCAGCAGUGGGGAAUAUUGCACAAUGGGGGAAACCCUGAUGCAGCGACGCCGCGUGAGUGAAGAAGUAUUUCGGUAUGUAAAGCUCUAUCAGCAGGGAAGAAAAUGACGGUACCUGAUUAAGAAGCCCCGGCUAACUACGUGCCAGCAGCCGCGGUAAUACGUAGGGGGACAGCGUUAUCCGGAUUUACGGGGUGGAAAGGGAGCGUAGACGGCAGCACAAGUCUGGCGUGAAAUGCCGGGGCUUAACCCCGGAACUGCUUUGGAAACUGGGCAGCUAGAGUGCAUGAGAGGUAAGUGGAAUUCCUAGUGUAGCGGUGAAAUGCGUAGAUAUUAGGAGGAACACCAGUGGCGAAGGCGGCUUACUGGACUGUAACUGACGUUGAGGCUCGAAAGCGUGGGUAGCAAACAGGAUUAGAUACCCCUGUAGUC
This 440-nucleotide ribosomal RNA is filed under the name uncultured bacterium. RNAcentral describes it as "partial 16S ribosomal RNA". It matches the Rfam family "Bacterial small subunit ribosomal RNA", at positions 338 to 795 of the family's 1533-position model. The record is from RNAcentral.